AAGUCGGGGCCUAAGGUGAGGACGAGAGUCGUAGCCGAUGGACAACAGGUGGAGAUUCCUGUACUAUGAUAUGACAGAACUGUGGGGACACGUGCAGAGAGCGGAAGCCGGGAAUGGGAUCCCGGUGCAAGCGAGGUACCAGCCGCAUUGGAAAAACCGUGCGGCAAUGGGAAGACGUGAUGCGGAGUGAAGUUUAGUAAUGAAGUCCGUGAGCUGUGCGUCAAGAAAAGCCGCUAUUGUUCAUACCAUACCCGUACCGUAAACCGACACAGGUGGAUGAGGAGAGAAUCCUAAGGCCGGCGGAAGAAGCAUUGUCAAGGAACUCGGCAAAAUGACCCCGUAACUUCGGGAGAAGGGGUGCCUGCGAGAGCAGGCCGCAGAGAAUAGGCUCAAGCAACUGUUUAGCAAAAACACAGGUCUAUGCGAAACCGAAAGGUGAGGUAUAUGGGCUGACGCCUGCCCGGUGCUGGAAGGUUAAGAGGAGAGGUUAGCGCAAGCGAAGCUUUGAAUUUAAGCCCCAGUAAACGGCGGCCGUAACUAUAACGGUCCUAAGGUAGCGAAAUUCCUUGUCGGGUAAGUUCCGACCCGCACGAAAGGCGUAAUGAUUUGAGCGCUGUCUCGACAAUGCAUCCGGUGAAAUUGAAGUACCAGUGAAGAUGCUGGUUACCUGCGCCAGGACGGAAAGACCCCAUGGAGCUUUACUCCAGUUUGGUACUGGGAUCCGGUACUGCAUGUACAGGAUAGGUGGGAGGCUAUGAAUCGGUAACGCCAGUUGCCGAGGAGCCGCUGUUGGGAUACCACCCUUGCAGUAUUGGGUUUCUAACCAGCCGCCGUGACCCGGCGGUGGGACAAUGCCAGACGGGGAGUUUGACUGGGGCGGUCGCCUCCGAAAGGGUAUCGGAGGCGCCCAAAGGUUCCCUCAGGAUGGACGGAAACCAUCCAAAGAGUGCAAAGGCAGAAGGGAGCUUGACUGCGACACCGACGGGUGGAGCAGGUACGAAAGUAGGGCUUAGUGAUCCGGUGGUAUUAAGUGGGAAUGCCAUCGCUCAACGGAUAAAAGCUACCCUGGGAUAACAGGCUUAUCACUCCCAAGAGUUCACAUCGACGGAGUGGUUUGGCACCUCGAUGUCGGCUCAUCGCAUCCUGGGGCUGUAGUAGGUCCCAAGGGUUGGGCUGUUCGCCCAUUAAAGCGGUACGCGAGCUGGGUUCAGAACGUCGUGAGACAGUUCGGUCCCUAUCCGGCGUGGGCGUAGGAUAUCUGAGAGGAGCUGUCCUUAGUACGAGAGGACCGGGAUGGACGGGCCGCUGGUGCACCGGUUAGACUGCCAAGUCUAUAGCCGGGUAGCCAAGCCCGGAAGGGAUAAACGCUGAAGGCAUCUAAGCGUGAAGCCCCCCUCAAGAUGAGAUAUCCCAUCCGAAAGGAGUAAACCCCCUUGAAGACGACGAGGUCGAUAGGGCAGAGGUGGAAGUGUGGUAACACAUGGAGCUGACUGCUACUAAUAGGGUGAGGGCUUGAUC
RNAcentral lists this ribosomal RNA (1518 nucleotides) under metagenome. RNAcentral's name for it is "bacterial LSU rRNA". It matches the Rfam family "Bacterial large subunit ribosomal RNA", at positions 1381 to 2925 of the family's 2925-position model. The record is from RNAcentral.